CCUACGGGUGGCAGCAGUGAGGAAUAUUGGUCAAUGGGCGCAAGCCUGAACCAGCCAAGUCGCGUGAGGGAUGACGGUCCUAUGGAUUGUAAACCUCUUUUGUCGGGGAGCAAGGCCCGCCACGUGCGGCGGGAAGGAGAGUACCCGAAGAAAAAGCAUCGGCUAACUCCGUGCCAGCAGCCGCGGUAAGACGGGGGAUGCGGGCGUUAUCCGGAUUUAUUGGGGUGAAGGGGUGCGUAGGGGGAAGGUUAAGUCAGCGGUCAAACGUCGGUGCUCAACACCGGCCUGCCGUGGAAACUGGUCUGCUUGAGUGAGCGAGAGGUAUGCGGAAUGCGUGGUGUAGCGGUGAAAUGCAUAGAUAUCACGCAGAACUCCGAUUGCGAAGGCAGCAUACCGGCGCUCAACUGACGCUGAGGCACGAAAGCGUGGGGAUCGAACAGGAUUAGAUACCCGGGUAGUC
RNAcentral lists this ribosomal RNA (460 nucleotides) under uncultured bacterium. RNAcentral describes it as "partial 16S ribosomal RNA". It matches the Rfam family "Bacterial small subunit ribosomal RNA", at positions 338 to 795 of the family's 1533-position model. The record is from RNAcentral.